CUUAGAACGAACGCUGGCGGCGUGCUUAACACAUGCAAGUCGAACGCGAAAGGGACUUCGGUCCUGAGUAAAGUGGCGCACGGGUGAGUAACGCGUAGAUAACCUGUCUUCAUGUCUGGAAUAAUACGCCGAAAGGGGUACUAAUACCGGAUAUUCUUGCUUUUCAUAAGUUAUGCAAGCAAAGGUGGCCUCUGCAUAUGCUACUGCAUGAAGAGGGGUCUGCGUACCAUUAGCUAGUAGGUGGGGUAAUGGCCUACCUAGGCGACGAUGGUUAGCGGGUCUGAGAGGAUGAUCCGCCACACUGGCACUGGAACACGGGCCAGACUCCUACGGGAGGCAGCAGUGAGGAAUAUUGCGCAAUGGGGGAAACCCUGACGCAGCGACGCCGCGUGAGUGAGGAAAGGCCUUCGGGUCGUAAAGCUCUGUCAAGAGGAAAGAAGUGUACAAUGGCUAAUACCUGUUGUAUUUGACGGUACCUCUAAAGGAAGCACCGGCUAACUCCGUGCCAGCAGCAGC
Molecule: ribosomal RNA, 516 nt
Filed under: uncultured bacterium
Lineage: Bacteria
Description: bacterial SSU rRNA
Rfam family: Bacterial small subunit ribosomal RNA
Source: RNAcentral